RNAcentral lists this ribosomal RNA (729 nucleotides) under Lactobacillus casei group sp. RNAcentral describes it as "bacterial SSU rRNA". It matches the Rfam family "Bacterial small subunit ribosomal RNA", at positions 51 to 744 of the family's 1533-position model. The record is from RNAcentral. Lineage: Bacteria; Bacillati; Bacillota; Bacilli; Lactobacillales; Lactobacillaceae.
AUACAUGCAAGUCGAACGAGUUCUCGUUGAUGAUCGGUGCUUGCACCGAGAUUCAACAUGGAACGAGUGGCGGACGGGUGAGUAACACGUGGGUAACCUGCCCUUAAGUGGGGGAUAACAUUUGGAAACAGAUGCUAAUACCGCAUAGAUCCAAGAACCGCAUGGUUCUUGGCUGAAAGAUGGCGUAAGCUAUCGCUUUUGGAUGGACCCGCGGCGUAUUAGCUAGUUGGUGAGGUAAUGGCUCACCAAGGCGAUGAUACGUAGCCGAACUGAGAGGUUGAUCGGCCACAUUGGGACUGAGACACGGCCCAAACUCCUACGGGAGGCAGCAGUAGGGAAUCUUCCACAAUGGACGCAAGUCUGAUGGAGCAACGCCGCGUGAGUGAAGAAGGCUUUCGGGUCGUAAAACUCUGUUGUUGGAGAAGAAUGGUCGGCAGAGUAACUGUUGUCGGCGUGACGGUAUCCAACCAGAAAGCCACGGCUAACUACGUGCCAGCAGCCGCGGUAAUACGUAGGUGGCAAGCGUUAUCCGGAUUUAUUGGGCGUAAAGCGAGCGCAGGCGGUUUUUUAAGUCUGAUGUGAAAGCCCUCGGCUUAACCGAGGAAGCGCAUCGGAAACUGGGAAACUUGAGUGCAGAAGAGGACAGUGGAACUCCAUGUGUAGCGGUGAAAUGCGUAGAUAUAUGGAAGAACACCAGUGGCGAAGGCGGCUGUCUGGUCUGUAACUGAC